AGUAACGCGUAGGUAACCUACCUCAUAGCGGGGGAUAACUAUUGGAAACGAUAGCUAAUACCGCAUAAGAGAGACUAACUCAUGUUAGUAAUUUAAAAGGGGCAAUUGCUCCACUAUGAGAUGGACCUGCGUUGUAUUAGCUAGUUGGUGAGGUAAAGGCUCACCAAGGCGACGAUACAUAGCCGACCUGAGAGGGUGAUCGGCCACACUGGAACUGAGACACGGUCCAG
RNAcentral lists this ribosomal RNA (230 nucleotides) under uncultured Streptococcaceae bacterium. RNAcentral describes it as "partial 16S ribosomal RNA". It matches the Rfam family "Bacterial small subunit ribosomal RNA", at positions 109 to 334 of the family's 1533-position model. The record is from RNAcentral. Lineage: Bacteria; Bacillati; Bacillota; Bacilli; Lactobacillales; Streptococcaceae.